UGGGGAAUAUUGGACAAUGGGCGAAAGCCUGAUCCAGCCAUGCCGCGUGUGUGAAGAAGGUCUUCGGAUUGUAAAGCACUUUAAGUUGGGAGGAAGGGCAGUAAGCGAAUACCUUGCUGUUUUGACGUUACCGACAGAAUAAGCACCGGCUAACUCUGUGCCAGCAGCCGCGGUAAUACAGAGGGUGCAAGCGUUAAUCGGAAUUACUGGGCGUAUAGCGCGCGUAGGUGGUUCGUUAAGUUGAAUGUGAAAGCCCCGGGCUCAACCUGGGAACUGCAUCCAAAACUGGCGAGCUAGAGUAGGGCAGAGGGUGGUGGAAGUUCCUGUGUAGCGGUGAAAUGCGUAGAUAUAGGAAGGAACACCAGUGGCGAAGGCGACCACCUGGGAUCAUACUGACACUGAGGUGCGAAAGCGUGGGGAGCAAACAGG
Molecule: ribosomal RNA, 429 nt
Filed under: Pseudomonadota bacterium
Lineage: Bacteria; Pseudomonadati; Pseudomonadota
Description: Proteobacteria bacterium partial 16S ribosomal RNA
Rfam family: Bacterial small subunit ribosomal RNA
Source: RNAcentral